Molecule: ribosomal RNA, 730 nt
Filed under: Rahnella variigena
Lineage: Bacteria; Pseudomonadati; Pseudomonadota; Gammaproteobacteria; Enterobacterales; Yersiniaceae
Description: partial 23S ribosomal RNA
Rfam family: Bacterial large subunit ribosomal RNA
Source: RNAcentral
GUUCUAACUCGGCCCCGUGAUCCGGGGUGAGGACAGUGUCUGGUGGGUAGUUUGACUGGGGCGGUCUCCUCCUAAAGAGUAACGGAGGAGCACGAAGGUUAGCUAAUCACGGUCGGACAUCGUGAGGUUAGUGCAAUGGCAUAAGCUAGCUUGACUGCGAGAGUGACGGCUCGAGCAGGUACGAAAGUAGGUCAUAGUGAUCCGGUGGUUCUGAAUGGAAGGGCCAUCGCUCAACGGAUAAAAGGUACUCCGGGGAUAACAGGCUGAUACCGCCCAAGAGUUCAUAUCGACGGCGGUGUUUGGCACCUCGAUGUCGGCUCAUCACAUCCUGGGGCUGAAGUAGGUCCCAAGGGUAUGGCUGUUCGCCAUUUAAAGUGGUACGCGAGCUGGGUUUAGAACGUCGUGAGACAGUUCGGUCCCUAUCUGCCGUGGGCGUUGGAAGAUUGAGAGGGGCUGCUCCUAGUACGAGAGGACCGGAGUGGACGCAUCACUGGUGUUCGGGUUGUCAUGCCAAUGGCAUUGCCCGGUAGCUAAAUGCGGAAAAGAUAAGCGCUGAAAGCAUCUAAGCGCGAAACUUGCCUCGAGAUGAGUCUUCCCUGUGGCUUUAAGCCACCUGAAGGGACGUUUAAGACUAAGACGUUGAUAGGCUGGGUGUGUAAGUGCAGCGAUGCAUUGAGCUAACCAGUACUAAUGACCCGAGAGGCUUAACCUUACAACACCAAAGGUGUUU